CAAGUCGACUUGCUUUUGAUUAGCAAUAGUCAAAAGAGAGUGGCGCACGGGUGAGUAACACGUAGAUAAUCUACCCUCAGGACUGACAUAAUGUAGAGAAAUCUGCACUAAUAUCAGAUGAAACAAAAUCCUGGCAUCAGAGAUUUUGUCAAAGUUUUAACGCCUGAAGAUGAGUCUGCGGUCCAUUAGGUAGUUGGCGGUUUAACAGACCACCAAGCCGACGAUGGAUAGCUGGUCUGAGAGGAUGAUCAGCCACACUGGAACUGAGACACGGUCCAGACUCCUACGGGAGGCAGCAGUAAGGAAUAUUGCUCAACGGGAGAAAUCCUGAAGCAGCAACGCCGCGUGGAGGAUGAAGGGCUUUCAGCUUGUAAACUCCUGUAAAGAAGGAAAAAAUUCCCAUUAGAUGGGAGAUGAUGGUACUUCUAAAGUAAGCCCCGGCUAACUACGUG
Molecule: ribosomal RNA, 452 nt
Filed under: uncultured bacterium
Lineage: Bacteria
Description: bacterial SSU rRNA
Rfam family: Bacterial small subunit ribosomal RNA
Source: RNAcentral